Molecule: transfer RNA, 64 nt
Filed under: Trogoderma variabile
Lineage: Eukaryota; Metazoa; Arthropoda; Insecta; Coleoptera; Dermestidae
Description: tRNA-Pro
Source: RNAcentral
CAGGGAGUAGUUUAAUGUAAAAUAAUAAUUUUGGAGAUUAUUGAUAAGAAUUUCUUUUCCCUGA